UACGGGGGGCUGCAGUAGGGAAUAUUGCACAAUGGAGGAAACUCUGAUGCAGCGACGCCGCGUGAGUGACGGAGGCCUUCGGGUUGUAAAGCUCUGUUCUUAGGGAAAAAGAAAGUGAUUGUACCUGAGAAGAAAGGACCGGCUAACUUCGUGCCAGCAGCCGCGGUAAGACGAGGGGUCCAAGCGUUGUUCGGAAUCAUUGGGCGUAAAGCGGGUGUAGGCGGCUCUAUAAGUCAGGAGUGAAAGCCCCGAGCUUAACUUGGGAAGUGCUUUUGAUACUGCAGAGCUUGAAUGUGGGAGAGGGUAGUGGAAUUCCAGGUGUAGUGGUGAAAUACGUAGAUAUCUGGAGGAACACCGGUGGCGAAGGCGGCUACCUGGCCCAACAUUGACGCUGAGACCCGAAAGCAUGGGGAUCAAACAGGAUUAAUCUUUCUAGA
Molecule: ribosomal RNA, 437 nt
Filed under: uncultured delta proteobacterium
Lineage: Bacteria; Deltaproteobacteria
Description: bacterial SSU rRNA
Rfam family: Bacterial small subunit ribosomal RNA
Source: RNAcentral